CAGGGAGCGGAAAAACUUUAGCUCUUCUAAAUAUGGGCAUCAAUGCCCAUAUAAGACAAUGCAUACGAAGGACACUAUCCGUGGGGAAUAUGUUUGAUAUGAGAAAUGGUGUUGAUAGGAAUUGCUCGGGUUUUGGUUGCACCAACUGGUCAGUCCCUUUUGUUAUGUUUUUUCUUUAAUAUUUGAAAAGGGAGUAGGAAAAGAAAUUGGAUCAGUUAGGUCACAGGUGUGACUUUUAUUAUCAUUUAUACUGCUAUUAGGGAUUAGAUGUCGAGGAUGGGAGCACUUCGCAUGAAGACUGGCUUAUGCAUGGGUUAUAGGACAACUUUACUCCAAAGUGAUGUCUAAUGCUUGUUAGUGCCGAAUAGUGGGAAAAAACGCGCCGCUGGGGUUACCGUUUCUCAUUUACCAGGUGGCGGUUACACAGGGCGUCGUUUAAAAGGUCGUAAGCGCGUAUGCACAAAGCUCGCUGGCGGAGCGAAACCAAGACAAAUACAUCCAGUUUAAGUAGGAAUAAGCAGUUUAUUUGGCACUAAUAACAAGCAUUAGACAUCACUUUGGAGUAAAGUUGUCCUAUAACCCGUGCAUAGUGUUAUUAUUAAGAUCCAUACCAGUAAAAUACAAGCUAGAGGCUUGUGCAGCAAGAGCAAGGGGUUGAGAGGAUCAGGCCCUGUGAAGUCUGUAGUAUUCGUUAUACCUGUGUAGCGCCCGCAUUGCAUGUUGGGGUACGUGUUUGUAACUAAGUUGAGUGAGUCGCCAUCUUGAAUAAAACGUUGAGUUUGUACACUCGGUUUUCACUCUCACUACAAGCGGAUACUACAAAGUAUUUUUUGUUUGUGGACUUCAAGCACACAUGACCCCCUCUCCCUCUUGCCUUUUUCAGCCCUGUACGCUUGCUGUGAACACAGAUCACUUGGCUUUUAUAUUGUGCUCUCUUCUAAUUUGGGGUUUAGUGAGCACGAAAGAUAGCAGAGAAACAACCAACUAAUCAACCAAGACUGUGCUUCCACAAAUUGACUGCAACAUUUUCUACGCUACAGUGGAUAGGCUGUCUGCUAUACACAGACAUGAAAAUCUCCCCUUAAGUACAGGCUAGUCAAGAGGUCCUCUUAGCUGCGUGUGGCACUUCCUCCAUGAAGUUGCAGCCAAAGAAGCAUGAAAAAAAUAAUGUAACACAAGAGCGCAAAAAUAGAUUCUUGCUUGGAUUAAUUCAUUGACUCCUGGCUAUUUUUGAGAUGACACAAAAAGACAGACUAAGCCCCCCUCUAUUUUGAGUUUUUUUUUACAGCCCGUCAAAGUAAAAACACCGCUGCACCUAGUCAGCGGUAUCCAAGCUUUCCAACAGUGCUUUGCGGUUCUAUCUCUAAUCCCUCGUCUCUGAUGCGCCCACAAGUUGGUGGUUGCUUGUAUUUUUCAUAAAAAAAUACACAACUAAUAGCAUAUUGAGAGAAUGCCCUAGGGCUAGUCUAUUAGAGCAUAAUUGGGUGCUGUACUUAUGGAUAUUUGCAAGCGAAGGAGGAUGCAUGGUGAUUUUUUCUUGUUGGUUGUUUGGCUUUGCCUGGAUGAGAAAAUAUUUUCUGAUGAAUCACCAGCUCUCCAAAAUGCUGUCUUUUCUGAAACUAGAUGAUUUUAAAAUUGUUUACACUGCUAUUCUAGGUCUGUAUGACCUGGAAUUGAUUUGUUUAGCUUUGGGAUGGAAAGACUUGUAAAAAACCGUCCGACUUUGGGGAGAGGAGUGUUGACUGGCCCUCCCCUCGUGGAUUUCUUCACGGAUCUCCCAGAAUGCUUUGCAAUCUGUAAUGGCAGCAAUAAAUGGUCUCAAAAGCCUUCACGAACGGAGAGGAAAUUGUGUUUUGAGGCCACAGAAAUGGACCUGGAGGUUCAGAAUAAAGUUUAGCGCACAGUCCUCAUGUACCUUGUGACCACACGGAAACACCAGACAUCCAGAAAACACUUCCUGCAAAUGCAUCAUGUAAACCAUUUCACUCAAGAGCAGAAAGCAGUGCGGCACUGGCAGGUUUUGCAAGUCGGGAUGGUCAUGUAAAAAAAUCGACCUGGACUUACAUGAAAGUAAUUGAAAUUGUAAAGUUUAACAAUUUUGGCAGUGGUUUGAGCAUAUUCAUCCCAUCCCUGCACCCAUCCCCAGCUUUCUAUGCAUGAACCCCUUUGACUAAAAUUUCAUUUUAAACGAUAAAAGUGAAAUACUCCUUUCACCAUAUCUUGUUGUUGGUGCACCCUUUCAAGAACUUCUGGCCUGCCACUGUAAGUUUUAGAUUGUUUCAUUUUUCAGGAUCAAAUUGACAGCCUGGGGAGGGUCAACCCAGUGCUCUAAUGAAGCAGCCAAUCCUGAAAGAGCGCUGAUAAAAGGCACGAUUAAGUUGAUCACUAGAUUAGACUCAACUUGACUAAAAUUUUAGCCUGAAAUCCAUGCAUCAACCAAGUGUUUUUAUAGCAGUGUUUUUUAUCUCUCAAAUUCCAAGAUGAUGGCUACAAACCCCUUGAGGUCAGUUUUUUCCUAUAAAAACACCUGGUAAACGCAGGUAGAUUGUUUAUUAUUUUUAAGGAUUAAACUUAUAUGUACCUGUAGACAAACUGCACAUUCAUCACUUUGGCUGUCAGCAAUGCAUUUAUGUUUGUUUAACAGUUUUUUGUCCAUACACAAAUUGCAGCCAUCGCAGUGAUAGUACUCGCUUUUGUAAGCUCUGUAAUAAUAAUAAAUUUGUUAUAACCUUGAAUAAACACAUUUGCGGGGCA
This is a long non-coding RNA of Nematostella vectensis (starlet sea anemone), 2754 nucleotides long. RefSeq lists it as uncharacterized. The transcript is spliced from 2 exons. The record is from RefSeq and is a predicted model, not a curated record. Lineage: Eukaryota; Metazoa; Cnidaria; Anthozoa; Actiniaria; Edwardsiidae.